GUUUUUUUCUAAUAAACUCGUUCCGAAUUGUAUGUGUGCCAAUUCUUCUGUAAGCACAAAGGUACUUUUUAGAUUAUUAACGCCAUGUUUCAAAUAAAAACACUUAAAAAAAAAUAUAAACGUACAAUUUCUCUAUUUUAUUAUUUUAUUAAAACAAGGACGACGUUCUCUACGAAAAUAGUUCGUCCAUGUAUUAAUCGAAAAAUCACAAUAUAACUAUUUUGUGGCCUUUUCGAUUUACUUUCAGUCGGUAUCAACUUCACUCAGAAGAGUCUUUCUUCAAGCAAUGAUAUAUCUGUAAGAAAAGAUAUACCAUUCUUUGAUGAAAUGAAAUCACCCUGUGUAUUAUAUGUACCUAAAUUUUAACUUAUAACUGAGGCCACUCCCAUCUUUAGUACCACCACUAUUAUUAAGAAUAAGUGCAAAAUAUAAGAGUUUCAUUUAACUGUCUUCAAUUAAAUUACUUCGAAUGUGUUUGCAGCCACUGUUGUUGUAGGUGGAAAAUUAGGAAUGUAAAAUUCAGGCUGAAAUAUAAUGUAAAUCUGUAAAAAUCGAAAACCGUUGAUAUCGAAAAAACGAUUCUGAGAGAGGUUUACUGAAAAAUAUUGCUGUGUCAACAAUACAUAUGCUAUAUAAUACAUAUUAUAACAAAAUAGUUGCAUAUGCAUUAAACAUUCUCUUUAAAAAUAUUUGUUCAAUUUUGUAUUUAUUUUCUCGUUAUCCUGAUUUUGACAUAUUUAAUUUUUUGGGAGGGAUUUGACUAUAAUAAAAUUUAUUUUNAAUAAGUGAAAAUUUCCAUAAUUUUAGUAAUUUUCAAAUUAAAAUAAACACAAAAAAGUAAUUUUUGAUCCUGUAUCGAAUAGGCAGUGAACCUGCGGUAAUUUUAACUGCAGUAAUUUUUUCAAUUAAUUUAUCUUAGACAGUCUAGUGAAAGUGAUCACACCAUAAUAAUCUACCUUAAAUGUAGGAUUAUAGUGUUUCAAUGAUUUUAAUGAUUUCAAUAGUACAAUAUUUUAUAUUUAAACAUUUAAUAACGUUAAAUUUUAUUGUAAUAUAACUGAUUUUGUCUGAUUCAAAUCAACUUUUGUUGAAUAGGUAAUUUACAAACUUGGCGAUCUAAACCUCAAGCAAGAACAUUUGGAUAAUCCGUCGACUACUACUAUAACGUAACGUGUAGCAAUUAUUACUGGCAACUGGAAUCAUACCUAUUACUAAAUAUAUAUUGUUAAGACCGUAACGUUUAAGUGAAAUAUAUUAAAAUCAAAGCAUAAAAUUAAAUUUGUGUCUCCUAAGAAUAUCGUAUUAUUCGCGUAUCUAUUUCGGAUUUAUUGCAAAUAUGCUGUUAAAAUUUAUCGUUUCGUAUGUUAUUAUUUAUUCUUUUAUGCCGGUGUCAGUACAAGGUAUAGGCGAAGGACCGUUUUCCCCUCCACCGAAAUCUCAUCUCCCUGAUGAUCCGCAUUUCGAGGGCCCUGGCCCUCCCUCUAUUUCUAAUGCACCUUAUAAUCCAGGUACUCCUGUUCACCCUCCCCGUUAGAUUAAAGGACAUUAAAAAUCAACUUUUGUCUGUACAAUAUUUGUGUAAUACAUUUAUCAUAAGUGAU
This 1601-nucleotide long non-coding RNA is filed under the name Cinara cedri. The record is from RNAcentral. Lineage: Eukaryota; Metazoa; Arthropoda; Insecta; Hemiptera; Aphididae.